UUUUCAUUUUCCUUCUCUCUUUUCUCCCGUCCAUUCAUGAGUGAGUAGGCUGAAUAAUGGCUUCCAAAGAUAUCGAUGUCCUGGAGGACAUCAUGUUAAGUGAAAUAAGCCAGGAAUGAAAAGACAAAUACCAAUGAUCUUGCUCAGAUGUGGAAUUGAAAAAAGUUGAUCUCGUAGAAGUAGAGAGUAGAAUAGAAGUUACAAGAGAAUGGAACAGUUAGGGAGAUGUUGGUAAAGGAUAAAAAAUUUCAGGUAGGAGGAAGAUGGCUUUGAAGAUGGAGGAAAGGGCCAUGAGCCAAGGAAUGCAGGCAGCUUCUAAAGGCAGAAAGCCAGGAAACAAAAUUUUCCCCUAGAUCCUCCAGAGAGAGAGUGUGGCCCUGCUGACACCUUAAUUUCUGACUUGUUUCUCCAGAACUGUAAGAGAAUAAAUAUGUGUUGUUAAUAAGCCACCAAGUUUGUGGAAAUUUGUUACACAGCAGUAAUAGAAAAUGAA
RNAcentral lists this long non-coding RNA (493 nucleotides) under Homo sapiens (human). RNAcentral's name for it is "non-protein coding lnc-MTR-3:1". Lineage: Eukaryota; Metazoa; Chordata; Mammalia; Primates; Hominidae. The record is from RNAcentral.